GUACACGCUGUGACUAGCAUAUCAAUAAGCGGAGGAAAAGAAACUAACAAGGAUUCCCCUAGUAACGGCGAGUGAAGCGGGAAGAGCUCAAAUUUGAAAUCUUAAAGGGUUUCCCUUUACGAAUUGUAGUUUAAAGAAGUGUUUUCUGUUGAGGUUUUGGUAAAAGUUCUUUGGAAUAGGACAUCAUAGAGGGUGAGAAUCCCGUAUUUGACCUUUACUUUCAACUUUGUGAUACACUUUCAAAGAGUCGGAUUGUUUGGGAAUGUAGUCCAAAAUGGGUGGUAAAUUUCAUCUAAAGCUAAAUAUUGGCGAGAGACCGAUAGCGAACAAGUACCGUGAGGGAAAGAUGAAAAGAACUUUGAAAAGAGAGUUAAACAGUACGUGAAAUUGUCAAAAGGGAAGCGUUUGACACCAGUGUUGUUUUUCUGAAAAUCAAUUAAAGAACUGUUUAUGCUAAGUUGUUUAGACUUUAUCAGCUAACUGUUUAGUUUUGAGCUUUUCUUUAAUGCACUUUUCAGUUAACAAGUCAACAUCAAUUUCUUUUGCUGUAAAAAAGCUUGAGGAAGGUGGCUUGAGAUUCGUCUUAAGUGUUUAUAGCCUCUUGCCUAUGCAGUCGGAGAGAUUGAGGUCUGCAGCGUAGAUCCUUCGGGGCUAAAUGCAUUUGUGCUAAGUUAUAGCAUUUUAUAGACAACUUGUUGACUAUGAUUUGUCUUGUAGCUUACUCGCUUAUGUUAUUUUACCUACGCUUAGGAUGUUGAAGAUGUAGCACAUCAU
Molecule: ribosomal RNA, 774 nt
Filed under: uncultured Neocallimastigales
Lineage: Eukaryota; Fungi; Neocallimastigomycota; Neocallimastigomycetes; Neocallimastigales
Description: partial large subunit ribosomal RNA
Rfam family: Eukaryotic large subunit ribosomal RNA
Source: RNAcentral